ACACGUAGGGGCCUGACGUUGUUCGGAAUCAUUGGGCGUAAAGGGCGCGCAGGCGGCCGCCCAAGUCCGGUGUUAAACGGUUGGGCUCAACCCGACCAUGCGCUGGAAACUGGGCGGCUUGAGUCCCGUACGGGAUGCCGGAAUUCCAGGUGUAGGGGGGAAAUCUGUAGAUAUCAGGAAGAACACCGAUGGCGAAGGCAGGCAUCUGGCCGGAGAAUGACGCUGAGGCGCGAAGGCGCGGGGAGCGAACAGGUUUAGAUACCCUGGUAGUCCGCGCAGUAAACGACGCGCACCAGGUGUCGGGCGGCAGUGCCCGGUACCGGAGCUAACGCGAUGAGUGCGCCGCCUGGGGAGUAUGCCCGCAAGGGUGAAACUCAAAUGAAUUGACGGGG
RNAcentral lists this ribosomal RNA (392 nucleotides) under uncultured bacterium. Its description in RNAcentral is "partial 16S ribosomal RNA". It matches the Rfam family "Bacterial small subunit ribosomal RNA", at positions 523 to 918 of the family's 1533-position model. The record is from RNAcentral.